Molecule: ribosomal RNA, 217 nt
Filed under: uncultured bacterium
Lineage: Bacteria
Description: partial 16S ribosomal RNA
Rfam family: Bacterial small subunit ribosomal RNA
Source: RNAcentral
GUCUCAGUUCGGAUUGGAGUCUGNAACCCGACUCCAUGAAGCUGGAUUCGCUAGUAAUCGCGCAUCAGCCACGGCGCGGUGAAUACGUUCCCGGGCCUUGUACACACCGCCCGUCAAGCCAUGGAAGCCGGGAGUGCCCGAAGCCGGUGAGGUAACCGAGAGGAGCCAGCCGUCGAAGGUGAGACCAAUGACUGGGGUGAAGUCGUAACAAGGUAUC